RNAcentral lists this small RNA (27 nucleotides) under Bombyx mori (domestic silkworm). RNAcentral's name for it is "ovarian small RNA-5154". The record is from RNAcentral. Lineage: Eukaryota; Metazoa; Arthropoda; Insecta; Lepidoptera; Bombycidae.
GAGCGUUAAAGUCACCAAGGACCACCA